Non-coding RNA from Pelobates cultripes (western spadefoot toad), 634 nucleotides. Lineage: Eukaryota; Metazoa; Chordata; Amphibia; Anura; Pelobatidae. The record is from the annotation of a GenBank genome assembly.
UAGGAGGGCAACAACCCAGCAGCAGGACCGCUACCUCUGCCUUUGUGCAAGGAGGAACAUGAGGAGCACUGCCAGAGCCCUUGGCAUUUGCCAGAGUACACCAAGAUUGGCAAAUUCGCCACUGGCGCCCUGUGCUCUUCACAGAUGAAAGCAUGUUCACACUGAGCACAUGUGACAGAGUCUGGAGACGCCGUGGAGAAUGUUCUGCUGCCUGCAACAUCCUCCAGCAUGACCGGUUUGGCAGUGGGUCAAUAAUGGUGUGGGGUGGCAUUUCAUUGGGGGGCUGCACAGCCCUCCAUGUGCUCGCCAGAGGUAGCCUGACUGUCAUUAGGUACUGAGGUGAGAUCCUCAGACCCCUUGUGAGACCAUAUGCUGGUGCGGUUGGCCCUGGGUUCCUCCUAAUGCAAGACACUGCUAGACCUCAUGUGGCUGGAGUGUGUCAGCAGUUCCUGCAAGAUGAAGGCAUUGAUGCUAUGGACUGGCCCGCCCGUUCCCCAGACCUGAAUCCAAUUGAGCACACAGAGGACAUCAUGUCUCGCUCCAGUUGGCAGAUGCUUUAGUCCAGGUCUGGGAGGAGAUCUCUCAGGAGACCAUCUGCCACCUCAUCAAGAGCAUGUACAGGCAUUGUAGGGAG